GGGGCUGAGGUAGUAAAGCACCUGCUUUGCACGCAGAAGGUCCGAGGUUCAGUCCCUAGCAUCUCCA
Non-coding RNA from Podarcis lilfordi (Lilford's wall lizard), 67 nucleotides. The record is from the annotation of a GenBank genome assembly. NCBI's taxonomy places the organism in Eukaryota, Metazoa, Chordata, Lepidosauria, Squamata, Lacertidae.